ACCUAAUAGAUACCCGGGUAGUCCACGCCCUAAACGAUGCGAACUGGAUGUUGGGUACAUUACGGUACUCAGUGUCGAAAAACUAAACGCGUUAAAGUUCGCCGCCUGGGGAGUACGGUCGCAAGACUGAAACUCAAAGGAAUUGACGGGGGCCCGCACAAGCGGUGGAGUAUGUGGUUUAAUUCGAUGCAACGCGAAGAACCUUACCUGGCCUUGACAUCUGUCGAAUCCUGCAGAGAUGCGGGAGUGCCGCAAGGAACGACAAGACAGGUGCUGCAUGGCUGUCGUCAGCUCGUGUCGUGAGAUGUUGGGUUAAGUCCCGCAACGAGCGCAACCCUUGUCCCUAGUUGCCAGCACAUCAUGGUGGGAACUCUAGGGAGACUGCCGGUGACAAACCGGAGGAAGGUGGGGAUGACGUCAAGUCCUCAUGGCCCUUACGGCCAGGGCUACACACGUACUACAAUGGUCGGUACAGAGGGUUGCGAAGCCGCGAGGCGAAGCCAAUCCCAGAAAACCGAUCCCAGUCCGGAUUGGAGU
This 537-nucleotide ribosomal RNA is filed under the name uncultured bacterium. RNAcentral's name for it is "bacterial SSU rRNA". It matches the Rfam family "Bacterial small subunit ribosomal RNA", at positions 772 to 1304 of the family's 1533-position model. The record is from RNAcentral.